RNAcentral lists this ribosomal RNA (406 nucleotides) under uncultured bacterium. RNAcentral describes it as "partial 16S ribosomal RNA". It matches the Rfam family "Bacterial small subunit ribosomal RNA", at positions 30 to 526 of the family's 1533-position model. The record is from RNAcentral.
AUUGAACGCUGGCGGCAGGCCUAACACAUGCAAGUCGAGCGAGCGGCGGACGGGUGAGUAAUGUCUGGGAAACUGCCUGAUGGAGGGGGAUAACUACUGGAAACGGUAGCUAAUACCGCAUACCAUCAGAUGUGCCCAGAUGGGAUUAGCUAUUUGGUGGGGUAACGGCCUACCAAGGCGACGAUCCGUAACGUGUCUGAGAGGAUGAUAAGUCACACUGGAGCUGAGAAACGGUCCAGACUCCGACGGAAGGCACCAGUGAGGAAUAGUGGACUAUGGGCGAAAGCCUGAUCCACCCAUGCCGCGUGUGUGAAGAAGGUCUUCGGAUUGUAAAGCACGUUAAGUUGCGAGACGUUACCAACAGAAUAGGCACCGGCUAACUUCGGGCCAGCAGCCGCGGUAAUAC